UCCUACGGGAGGCAGCAGUGGGGAAUUUUGGACAAUGGGCGAAAGCCUGAUCCAGCCAUGCCGCGUGCAGGAUGAAGGCCUUCGGGUUGUAAACUGCUUUUGUACGGAACGAAAAGACUCUGGUUAAUACCUGGGGUCCAUGACGGUACCGUAAGAAUAAGCACCGGCUAACUACGUGCCAGCAGCCGCGGUAAUACGUAGGGUGCAAGCGUUAAUCGGAAUUACUGGGCGUAAAGCGUGCGCAGGCGGUUAUAUAAGACAGAUGUGAAAUCCCCGGGCUCAACCUGGGAACUGCAUUUGUGACUGUAUAGCUAGAGUACGGCAGAGGGGGAUGGAAUUCCGCGUGUAGCAGUGAAAUGCGUAGAUAUGCGGAGGAACACCGAUGGCGAAGGCAAUCCCCUGGGCCUGUACUGACGCUCAUGCACGAAAGCGUGGGGAGCAAACAGGAUUAGAUACCCUGGUAGUCCACGCCCUAAACGAUGUCAACUGGUUGUUGGGUCUUCACUGACUCAGUAACGAAGCUAACGCGUGAAGUUGACCGCCUGGGGAGUACGGCCGCAAGGUUGAAACUCAAAUGAAUUGACGGA
This 587-nucleotide ribosomal RNA is filed under the name uncultured bacterium. Its description in RNAcentral is "bacterial SSU rRNA". It matches the Rfam family "Bacterial small subunit ribosomal RNA", at positions 337 to 917 of the family's 1533-position model. The record is from RNAcentral.